CUCAAUUAGCUCCCUCAAAUGGCUAUUUUCCACUUGAUCUAAGCUGCACUCUGAGGUUAUAGCCACAGAGCUCUCUACCACUACAAUAAUAGGACUAUUUUGGCAUCAUUCCUUUUAGAUUUGAUUACUUUUUCCUUCAGCCAUUAGCAAAUGCUUUUUCCUAGCUAAAUCCUGAUUCAUGUUCAACAGCUUCCUUCUUUUUUUUUCCCUUUUUUUUUUUUUUUUUUUUUUGGUUCUCUUUGGUGUUCCUGACACCUCCUAGUGAAGUGUCAAUUGAAAGUUUAAUUAACACAUCCUCUGUCUUCUUAUUUCAUACGAGUAAUGAAAAUACUGAAUAAAUGCAGAGCCACUAUCAAUCCCACUGGUACCCCAGCUCCUUCCAUUAGCCAGGUUUGACUUCAUAGAGUAUUCUGCAUGUGGUAUUUUGUUUAAAUCCCUGAGACACUCUUUUGCUCUUUUGACCUUGUAACAGAAUAUGCAUAUAGGUUGAUUUUUUAUUUUUUUUUCCCCAGGUGAAAUCACUGUAGGCCCUGGCUUUGGGUUUUAGCCCAGAACUGCCACUCGGGUAUGUGGACUGGAAUGAACUCCAUCCACAAACACUGAGCAGAGAAUCCCUUGGGUACAAGGAAAUUCCCAACCAACAUAAACCUGGCAGGAGCAGACACUGUCUCAGCCACCUGCACUUAUGUGGGUCUUAGGAGCAAGAGAGCAGAGAGGAAAGUGCAAUGCUGAGCGGAUCUCUCGUAUACUUCCUCAGCUGGCACAGAGAAAGGAUAAAUGCAUUAACUACCUAUUGCACUUAACUCUAUCUGACCAUAACAGUCCUCAGCACACAAAGCUGUCUGCCUCAGAAGCUGGGAUAGCAAGACAUGAAACCCUGAAUCCCUUGUGGUACUCAUUUUGCACACUACUGUACAGCUCCUACAUUUCUGUGAUUUGCAUUUCCCUGUGAAGCAGCCAAAUGAAUUAACAUUAAAGAUGGAGACUGAAAGAACGAUAUUCUCGUUAAAGAAGCUCUCUCUUUCAAAAAUCAAUGAGAUAAUAUCCUUUUAAAGCUAUUCCCAACUGUUGUCUCUCCUGAUUUGGCUCUAUGGGAGUUGGAAGUAUUGGGGAGAUUAAUGACAGAUUUAACAACAGAGAGGUUCACCUUAUUUCGAUCUGGUAUGGUUAAUGUCCUCUAAUGCUUUGUCCAUGCUGUGAAACCAGAGGAGAGGCCAUCUCAAUGCUUUUAUUUGUUCAGGUGAAGUGCUGGGUAACUGUGACUUUCUGGAUUACUAUAGGGGAGUGACUAGGCAGCUGACAGAAAGUCGAUGGCACCAUGGAAAAACAUCUCACCUCCAGGAGGCUUGCCACCACUUUCUCCUAGCCAGCAGGGAGCAGCCUGAGCUCACCUCGCCAGCAAGAGCCAGAACACUCCUCCUGAUUAGUCCUGGAAGAGCUGGCCAGGAUGUACUCAUAUCAUUUCAG
RNAcentral lists this long non-coding RNA (1467 nucleotides) under Anas platyrhynchos platyrhynchos (common mallard). RNAcentral describes it as "lncRNA (ENSAPLG00000028587.1)". Lineage: Eukaryota; Metazoa; Chordata; Aves; Anseriformes; Anatidae. The record is from RNAcentral.